Molecule: ribosomal RNA, 640 nt
Filed under: uncultured bacterium
Lineage: Bacteria
Description: bacterial SSU rRNA
Rfam family: Bacterial small subunit ribosomal RNA
Source: RNAcentral
GAGUGGCGAACGGGUGAGUAUAACAUCGGCACAUUUCCUGUAGUGGGGGAUAGCCCGGCGAAAGCCGGAUUAAUACCGCAUACGAUCUAUGGAUGAAAGCGGGGACCUUCGGGCCUCGCGCUAUAGGGUUGGCCGAUGGCUGAUUAGCUAGUUGGUGGGGUAAAGGCCUACCAAGGCGACGAUCAGUAGCUGGUCUGAGAGGACGACCAGCCACACUGGGAUUGAGACACGGCCCAGACUCUUACGGGAGGCAGCAGUGGGGAAUUUUGGACAAUGGGCGAAAGCCUGAUCCAGCAAUGCCGCGUGUGUGAAGAAGGCCUUCGGGUUGUAAAGCACUUUUGUCCGGAAAGAAAUCCUUGGUUCUAAUAUAGCCGGGGGAUGACGGUACCGGAAGAAUAAGCACCGGCUAACUACGUGCCAGCAGCCGCGGUAAUACGUAGGGUGCGAGCGUUAAUCGGAAUUACUGGGCGUAAAGCGUGCGCAGGCGGUUUGCUAAGACCGAUGUGAAAUCCCCGGGCUCAACCUGGGAAUGCAUUGGUGACUGGCAAGCUAGAGUAUGGCAGAGGGGGGUAGAAUUCCACGUGUAGCAGUGAAAUGCGUAGAGAUGUGGAGGAAUACCGAUGGCGAAGGCAGCCCCCUG